This 404-nucleotide ribosomal RNA is filed under the name Fusobacteriota bacterium. Its description in RNAcentral is "Fusobacteria bacterium partial 16S ribosomal RNA". It matches the Rfam family "Bacterial small subunit ribosomal RNA", at positions 355 to 776 of the family's 1533-position model. Lineage: Bacteria; Fusobacteriati; Fusobacteriota. The record is from RNAcentral.
UGGGGAAUUUUGCACAAUGGAGGAAACUCUGAUGCAGCGACGCCGCGUGAGUGAUGAAGAUCUUCGGAUUGUAAAACUCUGUCCUUAGUGAAGAUAAUGACAGUAACUAAGAAGCAAGCCCUGGCUAAAUACGUGCCAGCAGCCGCGGUAAUACGUAUGGAGCGAGCGUUGUCCGGAAUUAUUGGGCGUAAAGGGUGCGCAGGCGGCUUUACAAGUUGGAUGUGAAAUAUUGUGGCUCAACCACAAACGUGCAUCCAAAACUGCAAAGCUUGAGUUAAGGAGAGGUAAGUGGAAUUCCUGGUGUAGCAGUGGAAUGCGUAGAUAUCAGGAGGAAUACCGGUGGCGAAGGCGACUUACUGGACUUAAACUGACGCUCAGGCACGAAAGCGUGGGGAGCAAACAGG